UACAGAGGGGGCAAGCGUUAUUCGGAAUUAUUGGGCGUAAAGGGCGCGUAGGCGGCUUUGCAAGUGACGGGUGAAAUCCCUCGGCUUAACCGAGGAACUGCCUGUCAAACUGCAUGGCUUGAGACCAGGAGAGGUGAGUGGAAUUCCCAGUGUAGCGGUGAAAUGCGUAGAUAUUGGGAGGAACACCAGUGGCGAAGGCGGCUCACUGGACUGGUACUGACGCUGAUGCGCGAAAGCGUGGGGAGCAAACAGG
RNAcentral lists this ribosomal RNA (253 nucleotides) under uncultured bacterium. RNAcentral describes it as "partial 16S ribosomal RNA". It matches the Rfam family "Bacterial small subunit ribosomal RNA", at positions 524 to 776 of the family's 1533-position model. The record is from RNAcentral. RNAcentral also lists the same sequence under 1 other name.